CAUUCAAAUAGCAAGUAGUUAGAUUUCGUGUGGAAUUUGGUACACGAUGAUGAUCGACACUAUAACACAUUAGGCUUUUUGCGGCGACUAAUUCUUGCCUCAAUAAGCAUUUAAACUGUGGAUAAAUGUCUGAAUCCACGUUUUCUUCUUCACAGAGCAAAUGCGGUAAAAUCAACGUGACACUAGCACUGAAUAUCACCGCAAGCUCCAUCGCCGAAUACAUAACUCCGUUUACUGCCGAUUUACCUACUGAGAAGAGAGCCGCGCUAACUGCCGCAGAUGAUGUCAUCAGAUCAAUCUCACCGCCGCAGAAUAAAGAGAUCAACCCGAGUUGAUGUUCAUCGCGGCUUUGGGCAAAAUCAUCCCGGCGAGUUCUUAGCCGCAGAGGUGAAUUUCCAUGGUACAUCAUCCACCGGUUUCAACGAUGAAAUACAUGGAGGCAACCUAGCUGAGCAUGGGUCAUCUGGAGGUUGAGUGGAGUCAUCAGAGUGAACCUCAACUUCAUCUCUCAAACUCCAAGCUGCUGGUACUUGACAAGGUGGACGAAGUGUGGCAGGCAACACUCGUCCUCGACCUCUACCUUUAAUUGCUUGAUUCAUUUCUCCUACACAUGAAUGAGGAAUAAGAAACAUUUUCAUGCAUCAGCUUGACCUGGUACCCAAUAUCCAAUACCAAGCAGUUUUGUAAGCAAACAUCUCUUAAAGUGGUCACUCCAAGCUUACCAAGUUAUGUGUAUAUGCUGUAGCAAGUUGUUAAUGUGGACGUGCAGAAAUAAACCAAGUCUUGCUAACAAUGGAGGAGCAAAACGUGUGGCUCCCUAAGCAAAAUAUCUCACAAGUUGUUUGUAAUGACCAGAAAUUACCCUGGUCCCUAGAUAUGAGGAGCCAAGGGUUGGUAAAAAAAUUUCUCCCACUUCAAGUUGAUCUGCUUCUCUCGCGUAAGUGAAUGCUAGAUGAAGGCCAAAAGCAUGGGCUAUACUGGUAGACUUGGAUUGCUGUAUAUCUACUGACAUUAGAUGACAGCUAUAGGUUGUAGCCAUCAACUCCUAGUUAAUGUAAUUCUUUUAUUCUAAUUAGAGUUUUGUUGUAGAGACAUAUGAAGCAGUUUCUAGCUAGUUGUGGGGAAGUAGCACACGUGUAAUUAGCCUCCACUUUUAAUAGGUUCUUUUUACCAACUUUUUAGCCAUAUGUACAUUUUGCCAUUCAGGCUUAUUCAAUCAAUCGUAUUCUUCGUUUCAUUUUUA
Molecule: long non-coding RNA, 1243 nt
Organism: Carya illinoinensis
Lineage: Eukaryota; Viridiplantae; Streptophyta; Magnoliopsida; Fagales; Juglandaceae
Exons: 2
Source: RefSeq, a predicted model, not a curated record